RNAcentral lists this ribosomal RNA (241 nucleotides) under uncultured bacterium. Its description in RNAcentral is "partial 16S ribosomal RNA". It matches the Rfam family "Bacterial small subunit ribosomal RNA", at positions 335 to 592 of the family's 1533-position model. The record is from RNAcentral.
UCGCCUACGGGGGGCAGCAGUGGGGAAUAUUGCACAAUGGGGGAAACCCUGAUGCAGCAACGCCGCGUGAAGGAAGACGGUUUUCGGAUUGUAAACUUCUGUUCUUAGUGAAGAAAAAUGACGGUAGCUAAGGAGCAAGCCACGGCUAACUACGUGCCAGCAGCCGCGGUAAUACGUAGGUGGCAAGCGUUGUCCGGAAUUACUGGGUGUAAAGGGUGCGCAGGCGGUCCUGCAAGUCUGG